ACUUCAUUGAAGUGUUACUGCAUUACAUGCUGUGGUAGUCUGCAUAUCUUGAUAUCUCAACUUGACUUUUAGUUUUUUCUCUUGGACAUAAAUGACUGAUUGCCAAAUGGUUUCCUCAGAUUUUACAGCAGAUGAAAACAUGGAGAUUGAAAGCAUUAGGACGUAUAAGGAAGUCCUUCUGGAUGAUAUCCAGAAGUUAAAGAUGGAGAUAGACAACGUCAUGGCAGACAUACUCAGCUUUGAGUCUUCAGAGGAAAACAGCAAGACCAUAGAGAAGAGCAAACUGUCUGCAAAUGGGAAGAAGAAAUUCAACAUGGACCCCAAAAAGGGCAUCAAUUACCUGGUGGAGAAUGAGCUCCUGGAAAGAAGUGCUCAAUCCAUCGCUGAGUUCCUCUACAAAGAGGAGGGACUCAACAAGACAGCCAUUGGAGAAUUUCUUGGAGAAAGGGAGGAGCUCCACCUCCAGACCCUGAAGGCCUUCGUGGAGCUGCACGAGUUCUCCGACCUGAACCUGGUCCAGGCCCUCAGACAGUUCCUGUGGAGUUUCCGUCUGCCUGGUGAAGCCCAGAAGAUUGACCGCAUGAUGGAGGCUUUUGCCACGCGCUACUGUGACUGCAACACUCAUGUCUUCCAGUCCACCGACACGUGCUACAUCCUGUCAUUUGCCAUCAUCAUGCUCAACACCAGCCUCCACAACCCCAAUGUGAAGGACAAGACGCCUCUGGAGCGUUUCAUCUCCAUGAACAGAGGCAUCAACAACGGGGAGGAUCUACCUGAUGACCUGCUUUCGAAACUGUACGAGAGCAUUCGCAACGAGCCUUUUAAAAUCCCAGAGGAUGAUGGGAAUGAUCUGACUCACACCUUCUUCAACCCUGACAGAGAAGGAUGGCUCCUUAAACUUGGAGGCCGAGUUAAGACGUGGAAGAGGCGAUGGUUCAUCCUGACCGACAACUGCCUCUACUACUUUGAGUUCACCACUGAUAAAGAGCCCAGAGGCAUCAUUCCUCUAGAGAACCUUUGUGUGAGAGAAGUGCCGUAUCCUCGCAAACCGUACUGUCUGGAGCUGUACAAUCCCAACAGUCGAGGGCAGAAGAUCAAAGCGUGUAAAACAGAGACAGACGGAAGAGUGGUGGAGGGGAAGCACCAGUCCUACACCAUCUGUGCUCCUAGCGCGGAGGAGAGAGACUCCUGGAUCGAAGCCAUCAGAGCGAGUAUUACCAAGGACCCGUUCUACGACUUGGUCUCUGUCCGUAAGAAGAAGGUGAUAAACCAAGCUCCUCAGGACUGAGCUCUCCAGUGCUCCCCAUGGACAUGGAUAGCCCCACCGUGGGAUUCAGCCUCCCUUUAAGUUCUGUUAAACUCCGCACAACACAACUGGGUGAGGACACCAGAGGUUAGACACUGACAGUGGUCGUUUAGGCUAUAGAAGGGACUUCUCUUUCCGCUUCUCUUUUUACAGACUAAUCUAAACCGUGUCAAAGGUGAAAACGAGCCACAAAGAAUGUGUGGAUAUAUCUUCUGCAAUAAAAAGUGGAUUUUUGGUUGCCUGCACCACCAGAUUUAGUUUCUUGUAUCAGGAAGAUACAUUUAGCAAGUGAUGUCCCAGGAGGUCUACUCUUAACUUCUGUCCAGUGGAUCAUUAUUUCCUACAUGAAUAGCGUCCAUAAUAUGCUUCUGUUCUGGUUAGGGUUCGAUUGAGAAGUGUUGCUAAUGCUUCAUUUUGUAAAUAGAGAUAUUUUUUCAAGCAUUUAUCGGAAUUCAUUUUUUGUUUCUUGAACUUUAUAGUGAAAUAUAAUUUGCCUAAAAAUGCAGAACACACUCUAAUCAGACCAAUGAUUUCACUCAUAGCACAGUGCAAUAUGUGUAACAUGCAUUGUGUCAAUUUUGAUUUUUUUUGUAAUGUGUGCACUGUAAUAUAUGAAAGAAGUGUUUUAUCUGUACCCUAUAUUGUGUGUUAGUGUAAGUAUUGCAUUUGUUAUAUUAUCAUGAGUUAUUUAAUAUUAAAAAUAUUCAAUUGCCUUUU
Etheostoma cragini (Arkansas darter) is the source of this 2023-nucleotide RNA transcript. It is a transcript of the gene named cytohesin 4b, with no coding region annotated. The record is from RefSeq and is a predicted model, not a curated record. The transcript is spliced from 14 exons. Lineage: Eukaryota; Metazoa; Chordata; Actinopteri; Perciformes; Percidae.